Molecule: long non-coding RNA, 340 nt
Organism: Acomys russatus (golden spiny mouse)
Lineage: Eukaryota; Metazoa; Chordata; Mammalia; Rodentia; Muridae
Exons: 3
Source: RefSeq, a predicted model, not a curated record
GGGCUCCCAUGCAGCUGUGUGAGGUUAUGGGAUCCCAUGCAGCUGUGUGAGGUUAUGGGCUCCCUUGUAGCUGUGUGAGGUUAUGGGCUCCCUUGCAGCUGUGUGAGGUUAUGGGCUCCCUUGCAGCUGUGUGAGGUUAUGGGAUCCCUUGUAGCUGUGUGAGGUUAUGGGAUCCCAUGCAGCUGUGUGAGGUUAUGGGCUCCCUUGCAGGUGUGUGAGGUUAUAGGCUCCCUUGCAGCUGUGUGAGGUUAUGGGAUCCCUUGCAGCUGUGUGAGGUUAUGGGCUCCCUUGCAGGUGUGUGAGGUUGUGGGCUCCCUUGCAGCUGUGUGAGGUUAUGGGA